AUUGAACGCUGGCGGCAGGCCUAACACAUGCAAGUCGAACGAGUGGCGGACGGGUGAGUUAUGUCUGGGAAACUGCCCGAUGGAGUGGGAUAACUACUGGAAACCGUAGCUAAUACCGCAUACCAUCAGAUGUGCCCAGAUGGGAUUAGCUAGUUGGUGGGGUAACGGCUCACCAAGGCGACGAUCCCUAGCUGGUCUGAGAGGAUGACCAGCCACACUGGAACUGAGACACGGUCCAGAGUCCUACGGGAGGAAGCAGUGGGGAAUGUUGCACAAUGGGCGCAAGCCUGAUGCAGCAAAACCGCGUGUAUGAAGAAGGCCUGCGGGUUGUAAAGUACUAUCAGCGGGGAGGCGUUACCCGCAGAAGAAGCACCGGCUAACUCCGUAACAGCAGCCGCGGUAAUAC
Molecule: ribosomal RNA, 406 nt
Filed under: uncultured bacterium
Lineage: Bacteria
Description: partial 16S ribosomal RNA
Rfam family: Bacterial small subunit ribosomal RNA
Source: RNAcentral